This 253-nucleotide ribosomal RNA is filed under the name uncultured bacterium. Its description in RNAcentral is "partial 16S ribosomal RNA". It matches the Rfam family "Bacterial small subunit ribosomal RNA", at positions 524 to 776 of the family's 1533-position model. The record is from RNAcentral.
UACAGAGGGGGCAAGCGUUGUUCGGAAUUACUGGGCAUAAAGGGCGCGUAGGCGGCCUUCUGAGUCGAACGUGAAAUCCCCGGGCUCAACCCGGGAACUGCGUCCGAUACUGGAAGGCUUGAAUCCGGGAGAGGGAUGUGGAAUUCCAGGUGUAGCGGUGAAAUGCGUAGAUAUCUGGAGGAACACCGGUGGCGAAGGCGACAUCCUGGACCGGUAUUGACGCUGAGGCGCGAAAGCCAGGGGAGCAAACGGG